Molecule: ribosomal RNA, 1501 nt
Filed under: Pseudomonas sp. K3zhy
Lineage: Bacteria; Pseudomonadati; Pseudomonadota; Gammaproteobacteria; Pseudomonadales; Pseudomonadaceae
Description: bacterial SSU rRNA
Rfam family: Bacterial small subunit ribosomal RNA
Source: RNAcentral
AGAGUUUGAUCCUGGCUCAGAUUGAACGCUGGCGGCAGGCCUAACACAUGCAAGUCGAGCGGUAGAGAGAAGCUUGCUUCUCUUGAGAGCGGCGGACGGGUGAGUAAUGCCUAGGAAUCUGCCUGGUAGUGGGGGAUAACGUUCGGAAACGGACGCUAAUACCGCAUACGUCCUACGGGAGAAAGCAGGGGACCUUCGGGCCUUGCGCUAUCAGAUGAGCCUAGGUCGGAUUAGCUAGUUGGUGAGGUAAUGGCUCACCAAGGCGACGAUCCGUAACUGGUCUGAGAGGAUGAUCAGUCACACUGGAACUGAGACACGGUCCAGACUCCUACGGGAGGCAGCAGUGGGGAAUAUUGGACAAUGGGCGAAAGCCUGAUCCAGCCAUGCCGCGUGUGUGAAGAAGGUCUUCGGAUUGUAAAGCACUUUAAGUUGGGAGGAAGGGUUGUAGAUUAAUACUCUGCAAUUUUGACGUUACCGACAGAAUAAGCACCGGCUAACUCUGUGCCAGCAGCCGCGGUAAUACAGAGGGUGCAAGCGUUAAUCGGAAUUACUGGGCGUAAAGCGCGCGUAGGUGGUUUGUUAAGUUGGAUGUGAAAUCCCCGGGCUCAACCUGGGAACUGCAUUCAAAACUGACUGACUAGAGUAUGGUAGAGGGUGGUGGAAUUUCCUGUGUAGCGGUGAAAUGCGUAGAUAUAGGAAGGAACACCAGUGGCGAAGGCGACCACCUGGACUAAUACUGACACUGAGGUGCGAAAGCGGGGGGAGCAAACAGGAUUAGAUACCCUGGUAGUCCACGCCGUAAACGAUGUCAACUAGCCGUUGGAAGCCCUGAGCUUUUAGUGGCGCAGCUAACGCAUUAAGCUGACCGCCUGGGGAGUACGGCCGCAAGGUUAAAACUCAAAUGAAUUGACGGGGGCCCGCACAAACGGUGGAGCAUGUGGUUUAAUUCGAAGCAACGCGAAGAACCUUACCAGGCCUUGACAUCCAAUGAACUUUCUAGAGAUAGAUUGGUGCCUUCGGGAACAUUGAGACAGGUGCUGCAUGGCUGUCGUCAGCUCGUGUCGUGAGAUGUUGGGUUAAGUCCCGUAACGAGCGCAACCCUUGUCCUUAGUUACCAGCACGUAAUGGUGGGCACUCUAAGGAGACUGCCGGUGACAAACCGGAGGAAGGUGGGGAUGACGUCAAGUCAUCAUGGCCCUUACGGCCUGGGCUACACACGUGCUACAAUGGUCGGUACAGAGGGUUGCCAAGCCGCGAGGUGGAGCUAAUCCCAUAAAACCGAUCGUAGUCCGGAUCGCAGUCUGCAACUCGACUGCGUGAAGUCGGAAUUGCUAGUAAUCGCGAAUCAGAAUGUCGCGGUGAAUACGUUCCCGGGCCUUGUACACACCGCCCGUCACACCAUGGGAGUGGGUUGCACCAGAAGUAGCUAGUCUAACCUUCGGGAGGACGGUUACCACGGUGUGAUUCAUGACUGGGGUGAAGUCGUAACAAGGUAGCCGUA